UAAUACGUAGGGGGCUAGCGUUGUCCGGAUUUAUUGGGCGUAAAGAGCUCGUAGGCGGUUCGAUAAGUCGACGGUGAAAUCUCCACGCUCAACGUGGAGGGGUCCGUUGAUACUGUCGUGACUCGAGUCCGGUAGGGGAGUGUGGAAUUCCCGGUGUAGCGGUGAAAUGCGCAGAGAUCGGGAGGAACACCCGUAGCGAAGGCGGCACUCUGGGCCGGUACUGACGCUGAGGAGCGAAAGCGUGGGGAGCAAACAGGAUUAGAUACCCUGGUAGUCCACGCCGUAAACGUUGGGCACUAGGUGUGGGGCUCUAUCAACGGGCUCCGUGCCGUAGCUAACGCAUUAAGUGCCCCGCCUGGGGAGUACGGCCGCAAGGCUA
RNAcentral lists this ribosomal RNA (379 nucleotides) under uncultured bacterium. Its description in RNAcentral is "bacterial SSU rRNA". It matches the Rfam family "Bacterial small subunit ribosomal RNA", at positions 521 to 896 of the family's 1533-position model. The record is from RNAcentral.